AUUGCAUUUUAAGGGCGGAUGGAGGAUGCCUUGGGAGGUUGAGGCGAUGAAGGACGUAGGGUGCUUGCGAUAAGCCUCGGGGAGGUGGCUACCAACCUUUGAUCCGGGGAUUUCCGAAUGGGGAAACCCGUUUCGGUGAUAAAUCGAAACAGUCCAGUCAAAUGACCGGACGGCGUACCUGCUGAAGUGAAACAUCUCAGUAAGCAGAGGAAAAGAAAAAGUAAUUUUUAUUUCCCCAGUAGCGGCGAGCGAAAAGGAAAGAGCCUAAACCAAACGCAUAACUUGUUAUGCAUUUGGAGUUGUAAGAAGAUAAUGUCGGGAGUAUUUCUGAUCAAUAGAAAUGCUGCCGAGGGAGAACAUUUAGACGAAAUUUGGUUAGCUGAAAUACCCUGGAAAGGGAUACCAAAGAUGGUAAUAGUCCAGUAGGUGAAAACCAUUUCGUGCUCCUUGUUAUCUAUCUUAAGUACCUCGGGACAUGAAAAGCCUGAGGGAAACAGGCCAAACUAUUAGGCCAAGGCUAAAUACUCAACCUCACCGAUAGUGAACCAGUACCGUGAGGGAAAGGUGAAAAGUAGGGAGGUGAUCCCGGUGAAAUAGAACCUGAAACCAUCACGCCUACAAAGAGCAGAAGCCCGACCCGAAAGGGUAUAGGGUGACUGUGUGCUUUUUGCAGAACGAGCCAACGAGUUCAGCUCUUUCUUUCGUUUAAGUCCCUCUGGGACGAAAACAAAGCGAAAGCGAGUGUUAAAAGCGCGUACCCGUUUAUUCGGGAAAAGAAAGGGCUGAGACACGAAGCCAAGCGAGCUUGCCAUGGUUAGGGUGAGUCUCAGAGAAAUCUGGGAGGAGGCCCGAACCCGUGAACCGUGCAAUAUUCUGGGAUAAACUGUGGUAAGAAGUGAAAAGCUAAACGAGCUUGGUAAUAGCUUGUUCUCCCCGAAAUAGCUUUAGGGCUAGCGCCUUUUACUUUCCUGGGGGUAGAGCACUGGAUGGAGUACCGUGGCUUUUUGCUAGAUGCUCCAACCAAACUCCGAAUACCGGGAAAUAAAGGUAAGAGGCAGUCAGACUAUGAGGGCUAAGCUUCGUAGUCGAAAGGGAAACAGCCCAGAUCUUAAUCUAAGGUCCCUAAAUUUGAGCUAAGUGCUAAAAAAGAAGUGGGAUUUCGUUGAUAGUUAGGAGGUUAGCUUAGAAGCAGCUAUCCUUUAAAAAGUGCGUAAUAGCUUACUAACUAAGGGAUUCUGCACCUAAGAUUUCCGGGGCUAAGCUCAAUACCGAAGAUAAGGCCGAGCACAUAAUUUAUGUGCUCGGGGUAGGGGAGCGUUCCUAUUGCGAUGAAGCCUAAGAGUAAUUGAGGGUGGAGCGAUAGGAAGUGAAGAUGUUGGCAUGAGUAACCGCAAUGCAGGUAAAAUCCCUGCACACCGAAAGCCUAAGAUUUCCUUGGCAAUGGUAAUCAACCAAGGGUUAGGCGGGCCUAACCGAGUAUAUAAUCAGAUUAUGUGCUUGGGAUGGACAGCCGGUUAAUAUUCCGGCCCCCCCGUCCUUUUUUGAAGAGUGACGCAGUCAAAGCAUUUGAGAGGAUUAUUGGAUUUCCGAGAGUCGAGAGUAAUCUCGACCGUCUCGAAUAUUAGACUGCCUAGAAAAACUCGUAGAGUUAAAGGGGCGGGGUCCGUAUCGCAAACCGACACAGGUAGGCUGGCGUAAGAGUGCCAAGGUGAACGGGUGAAACCUCGUUAAGGAACUCGGCAAAAAAGUGUCCGUAAGUUCGCAAUAAGGACUCCCCCGACCCGAAAGGGUUUAGGGGGCGCAGCGAAAGUACCCCAAGCGACUGUUUAUCAAAAACACAAGUCCCUGCUUAAACUCGCAAGAGGAUGUAUAGGGGCUGAAGCCUGACCAGCGCUGGAACGUUAACAGUGGCGGUCUCGAUCUUCAAGAUUGAGGCUAACUGCUCGAAGCUUCCAGUAAGCGUCCGCGGUAACUAUAACCGUGUUAAAGUAGCGUAACCCCUUGCCGGGUAAGUUCCGGCCCGCAUGAAAGGCUUAACGACUUGGGGACUGUCUCAACGAGGAGCCCGGUGAAAAUGCAAUACCGGUGAAGAUGCCGGUUACCUGCGGCUAGACGGAAAGACCCCGGGAGCUUUACUGUAGCCUUUUAUUGUCCUAUUGUUUUAGAUGCGUAGCGUAGCGGGGAGGCGAUGAAGUCCUGAUUCUGGUCAGGGCAGAGCCGUCAAUGAAACACCCGUCUUUUAAAAUGGUAGGACUAAUCUUGAAUAAAUUCAGGAGACAGUGGAAGGUGGGCAGUUUAAGUGGGGCGCUUGCCUCCUAAAAAGUAACGGAGGCGUUUAUAAGGUCGGCUAGCUCCGGAUGGAAAUCGGAGCGGUCGGGUAAAGCCAAAAGCCGGCUUGACUGCAAGCAGGAUAUUGCGCGCAGACACGAAAGUGGAACUUAGUGAACCGACCCUGGUUAAUAGAAUCGGGGAAGAUCAUCAGCCAAAAGCUACCCCGGGGAUAACAGGCUAGUAGGGCCCGCGAGUCCAUAUCUACGGCCCUGUUCGGCACCUUAACAUAUCGGGGUGCUAUAGUAGUAAUGCUAUAUCUCGCUUAAGGCGGGACGAAAAAACUGACUUAUAACGGUGAAAUCCAUAUGUUAUAAUAUUAUAUAUGGACAAUACCGUGGGAAGUUUAACUCAAUUUCAAAAUUAGAAAUAAAUAUUAAUCCGGUGAUUUUAUCGAUUUGGUUUAUGGAUGACGGAAGCAAAUGCGGUAAUUCAAAUUUUUAUCUUAACACCCAACAAUUUACAAAAAACGACCAAGAAUUUUUGAUUAAAAAGUUAUCAAUUCU
RNAcentral lists this ribosomal RNA (2834 nucleotides) under Candidatus Nealsonbacteria bacterium CG11_big_fil_rev_8_21_14_0_20_37_68. RNAcentral's name for it is "bacterial LSU rRNA". It matches the Rfam family "Bacterial large subunit ribosomal RNA". The record is from RNAcentral. Lineage: Bacteria; Candidatus Nealsoniibacteriota.